Molecule: non-coding RNA, 3330 nt
Organism: Xyrichtys novacula (pearly razorfish)
Lineage: Eukaryota; Metazoa; Chordata; Actinopteri; Labriformes; Labridae
Source: the annotation of a GenBank genome assembly
UUCCAGUUGUAAUGGGAAGUCAGAAUUUUCAAGCUCUGAGUCGGAAAUUCAUCAAUCAGAUUCCCGACUUGGAAAAUCGGACAAUCCUCACCAACCCUAACUUGACGACAACGUCACAAUUCAAGAUGGCAGUGCAGUGCAUCAACAGUAGAGAGUAACAGUGAAAGCUCUCGUAAUGUAUUAACUAUUAGCACUUCUGUUUUGUUUUUGUGAAAUUAAAUUAAUGGUAUAUGUUGUACUGCCCAACGUCUAACCUCCAACUUCCACCGCAUCUUGAAUGGCUAUGAAAAGGCCGUAUUCGCCGAUCGUAGCUGAUCGUAACCAUUCAAGUCAAUGUGUCAAUUUCCACCGGCUUCUUUCCGUUCGGCUGCGGAUCGCCGGACUCAGCUGCUGAUCGCAAGAGUUGUAUUUUUUCCAGAUGCCGGAGCAUGCCAGAUAAAUUCAGCACAGGCUAACCUGUGCUGGAAAAGAAGUCGGGCACAGACACAAAAUAAAACAUCUGGCUUCUUUUCAAAAUAAAACACUCCGUGUUUCAGGUGGAUCACCUUUCACAAUAUGCAAACAGGCGGGGACAAACAAGUGAAAGGUUUAUAGACAGCAUUUCACCCCGAUUACACCAUGGAUGAGAGGAUGCUGAUUUUAUAAGUCUGGAAUUAGAUUUCCUCUUCUGGAAGGACCCAAUCUACUGCUUAUAUGGUUAGCCUGUGUGACUAAAGACAACUUGUUAUCGCGCGGUUGCACAUGAAUUCAAGGGUUCUUUCCAUAAUCUGCCACCAAAUUUGCCUCACAAACGGAUCCAGUAGGAACUUGCAUACGGCGAAAAUCGCCACUGUUACGGAUCAGAGCCGUUACGGAUGCGGUGGAAAUCCCGGAUAACUGUGCUACGUUGUGCUAUAGUGUUUGUAAGGGCUGUGCUAUGCAUUGUUUACAACUUGUAUAGCUAACAACAAUUAACAACAGCUGACAAUCGCUAACAACAACUGACAACGGGAAACGACAGCUGAAAAUUGUAAACAACAGCUAACAACGGGUAACUGUAGGCGUCAGUCUUGGUUUUCCGACUUGUUAACUGCAACGCCAUCUACUCCGGUGUAACGUCAUUCCCAGCUCCGACAUCCAACUUCCGAGGUAACUGGAAUGCAGCAUUUUAAGUGACACCAGUAUAUAACCUCUAUUGGAUAUCCUAUUAAGCUAAGAAGUGCUUAAAUGAUUAUCCUGUGUGUAGUAAUAUAAACGUUGCCCAAACUUCUGAGAAACGGCCUCUAAGAUCAGUCUCAGCCAAUGAAGAUCUCAAAAGACUAAAGUUUCCUCAGGCCUCUGUCAAACACUCCAGAGAGCAUAACUAAGAGCUACACCUGUUAUUUAAGGACUGUUUUCAGGACACUCAGCAACAACAGUUGGGGAAUUAUGUGUCUGAUUCUUGUAUCGGAUGAGUGGGUGCCUGUUUUGAUUUAUAGAGAGUGGAAGCAAGCCAGGAGCCUGUCGCACCACCUGCUCUGAAGUUCACAUUUUGUCCAAGUUAUUCUGGAUUUUAUGGAGUGGAAUUUUACUUAACACUGCAGUAAAAUGGUCAGCACCAACCACAGAAGUUCACAUUCAGGUAUAAGUAAAGAAGUAAGAUCCCCUUUUCUGUCCCUGACUUUGUAAUCGACUCUGGUUGCCAACAGGUUAGUGUCGGCGGAUACAUUCACUGUUAAUGAUCCGCACUGAGCAUGGCAUUGGCAGAUGGAUGAAAACAGUUAAAGAGGAUUAAAGGUCGGCUCGGGGGAAGUGGUCCUCCAGGUAUGUCUCUGGAUGGGGCUGAGAGAAGCACAUGAAGUGCUGUAACAAUCAUCCUUCUCCUCUGCAGCCCGUGUAAGGAGGAGUUGUUGAUUUCUUUGAUUUGACAAUUAAUUUAGAUGCAUCUUUGACUUAAACAAUCAAAGGAUGAUCGGAAGAAAAAAUCAAGAUCCAAAGGGAGCUUCAGAAAGGGCACAUAAAGUUCACAAUUUGGAGAAUUGAGAAAAAAGAAAAGAAACGAAUUAAGAUAAAAAGCAGUGCUCCUGUAACAAGUGUUGAGGGCAUGGCCUCACAAACUGAGCAGAUGGAUGGCUGGGAUGGAAAUGAUACUGUCUCUGACCUGACAAGCCGAAGCAGCCUGUGUAGCCCAUGAUUGUUUUUCCAAUUUGACCUGUGUGAAUCCACACGGAUAAUCACUGACUCCAGGAUCAAGGAUUUAGCCCUCGGGGGGGUUCCAGCAGUUAUAAUGCCCACGGCGGUCUCAAGACAAUGCAGUAGAGCUCACCUCAGCUUAGAUUGGACCAGCUGGGGCUCAGAGAGAAAGAAAAAGAGAAGAAAGAGGCAGUGUUACAAACGGAAACUGUACUUAGUUAUCCUUUAUAAAACAUAACCUGACAAGAGAACCCCUUUUAAAGAGUUCGUUUUAAGGGGAGAAAAAAAAAACUUAAAACCAUCAUUAACUACAGCAACAGAGAGGAUAAGUCAAUAUUUCUGAGUUUAGGUAGAUUAUUAAUAACAUCCGCCAGCUUUAAACCAUGAAGAGGAGUGAUUCCUGGUUUGAUAUAAUCAAAAAUCAAAGCUUAAAAGCAGCUCCUUUAAUAUUUUACUAAACAGCAUAUUUUCAAGUAACAUGCACUUGCAGAUUUUUUAACUCGCCAAACACUCUUUAAUGUUUUAUGGUUGCCUGGUUUCAUUACUUAUUUAAUGUUAACACUCAUGUUUUGACUCAUCCACGAAGGCCCAGAUUACAAAAAUGGAAACAACAUUUCAGUCAACAAGAGAUGCAUUUUACCAAUAUCAGAGCACAGGAUUAUUUUUUCAAACAUACAAGUGCAUAAACAUUAGAUGACAGUUUAGGGUCGGGGUGUCAUUAGAAAUUUUUUACUUCGUUUGUGAUCAAAAAAUAAAAUUACCAGAAAAGGGAAUACCAUUUUUUUUUAAUCAUGUCUUAUUUAGGGCAGAUCAUCAAAGUGUGGUUAGAGUGAAAGCAGAAGUGACAGGUUUGAAUUUUCAAAAUAGAAGCUUAAAGGAUCGUUUAAUUACUGUAUGUUAACACAGACAGUAGCAAGUGUUGAGUGUAGAAUCUACAUAAGGCCUUUUUUGUUUCUAACAAACAUUUUAAAACAUUUGUCAAUAAUUUAUUUUUCUCUGUUUUUUUGAUAAAUAUCUUUUUAUCAGAGUAAAAUGGCAUGAUCAGAGUGGUACCCCACCACACCAGUUGUGAGUCCUAUGUAUCACAGAGGGGUGCCAAUUCGAUACAGACCACCCACAGUUUUUUUGCUGGCUAUGAAGCAGACCUAAAGUGACACAGAUGCCUCUGCAGUAUCAGCA